UUUUGUUUUUCUGUGUCUAACGUUUGACCAUUCGUCUUAUUUGAAAAAUUUAUAUAAAAACUUUAAAAAAAAUAGUCAUGUAUAAAAUACUAUUUAUAUUUUAUUAUUUAGUAACAAUAAAAAUAUUAAUUAUAAAAAAUUUUUAAAUAAAACGAAUGGUCAAACGUUGGAUACGAAAAAAC
Molecule: microRNA precursor, 182 nt
Filed under: Oryza brachyantha (malo sina)
Lineage: Eukaryota; Viridiplantae; Streptophyta; Magnoliopsida; Poales; Poaceae
Description: MIR812 microRNA precursor family
Rfam family: MIR812 microRNA precursor family
Source: Rfam by way of RNAcentral